UCUAUGAGUCCCAGGGGCAGUCAGAUUUCACUUAGGAAUACUGGCAUCAGAUUACCGUAAUUAUGCUCUUCAAGGAUAUGUGGAGAUUGGCCCCUUUGGAACUUCAAACCUUCAUAUGUUACUCACAGAUUCCCUGAUGGUCCACAACACUAAUAUUUUGUACCACUCUGAUGGAGAAGCCAGAAAGCAGCCUUCUGUGAGCCAGAACUCCUCUCCUGGAAAAAUUGAAGUCAACAUGCAGAGGAGCAGAGAGAGGAGGAAUUGCAAGGCAAGUGUAGCAAAGCCAACACUCGGAACUAAACUCUUAACUAGUUACUAAUGAAUUAGUGUCUCUCCUUUUCA
This is a long non-coding RNA of Mus musculus (house mouse), 342 nucleotides long. RefSeq annotates it as predicted gene, 40651. The record is from RefSeq and is a predicted model, not a curated record. Lineage: Eukaryota; Metazoa; Chordata; Mammalia; Rodentia; Muridae. The transcript is spliced from 3 exons.